Molecule: transfer RNA, 63 nt
Filed under: Cicadellidae sp. EMHAU-2015-Zz052706
Lineage: Eukaryota; Metazoa; Arthropoda; Insecta; Hemiptera; Cicadellidae
Description: tRNA-Thr
Source: RNAcentral
GUUUUAAUAAUUUAAAAAAAAUAUUAGUCUUGUAUACUAAAAUUAGGAUAAACCUUUAAAACU